Molecule: transfer RNA, 77 nt
Filed under: Myxococcota bacterium
Lineage: Bacteria; Pseudomonadati; Myxococcota
Description: tRNA-Arg
Rfam family: tRNA
About the family: Transfer RNA (tRNA) molecules are approximately 80 nucleotides in length. Their secondary structure includes four short double-helical elements and three loops (D, anti-codon, and T loops).
Source: RNAcentral
GUCCCUGUAGCUCAGUUGGACAGAGCAGCUGCCUUCUAAGCAGCGGGUCGUGGGUUCGAAUCCCGCCGGGGACGCCA